This 650-nucleotide ribosomal RNA is filed under the name uncultured bacterium. RNAcentral's name for it is "bacterial SSU rRNA". It matches the Rfam family "Bacterial small subunit ribosomal RNA", at positions 199 to 871 of the family's 1533-position model. The record is from RNAcentral.
GGUCAAAGAUUUAUCGGUGAAGGGUGAGCCUGCGUCUGAUUAGCUAGUUGGUGGGGUAACGGCCUACCAAGGCAGCGAUCAGUAGCCGACCUGAGAGGGUGAUCGGCCACAUUGGAACUGAGACACGGUCCAAACUCCUACGGGAGGCAGCAGUGGGGAAUAUUGCACAAUGGGCGCAAGCCUGAUGCAGCAACGCCGCGUGAACGAUGAAGGCCUUUGGGCCGUAAAGUUCUGUCCUUGGGGAAGAUAAUGACGGUACCCUUGGAGGAAGCCCCGGCUAAUUACGUGCCAGCAGCCGCGGUAAUACGUAAGGGGCAAGCGUUAUCCGGAAUUAUUGGGCGUAAAGCGUACGUAGGUGGUUUUUUAAGUCCAUGGUUUAAGACAGUGGCUCAACCAUUGUAUGCCGUGGAAACUGGAAAGCUUGAGUGCAGGAGGGGAAAGCGGAAUUCCUAGUGUAGCGGUGAAAUGCGUAGAUAUUAGGAGGAACACCGGUGGCGAAGGCGGCUUUCUGGACUGCAACUGACACUGAGGUACGAAAGCGUGGGGAGCAAACAGGAUUAGAUACCCUGGUAGUCCACGCCAUAAACGAUGAGCACUAGAUGUUGGGACAGCGAUGUCUCGGUAUCGUAGUUAACGCAAUAAGUGCUCCG